UACACUCCUGCGGGAGGCAGCAGUGGGGAAUAUUGGACAAUGGGCGCAAGCCUGAUCCAGCCAUGCCGCGUGAGUGAUGAAGGCCCUAGGGUUGUAAAGCUCUUUCACCGGUGAAGAUAAUGACGGUAACCGGAGAAGAAGCCCCGGCUAACUUCGUGCCAGCAGCCGCGGUAAUACGAAGGGGGCUAGCGUUGUUCGGAUUUACUGGGCGUAAAGCGCACGUAGGCGGACUAUUAAGUCAGGGGUGAAAUCCCGGGGCUCAACCCCGGAACUGCCUUUGAUACUGGUAGUCUUGAGUUCGAGAGAGGUGAGUGGAAUUCCGAGUGUAGAGGUGAAAUUCGUAGAUAUUCGGAGGAACACCAGUGGCGAAGGCGGCUCACUGGCUCGAUACCGACGCUGAGGUGCGAAAGCGUGGGGAGCAAACAGGAUUAGAAACCCCAGUAGUCCCAUGA
This 452-nucleotide ribosomal RNA is filed under the name uncultured organism. RNAcentral's name for it is "partial 16S ribosomal RNA". It matches the Rfam family "Bacterial small subunit ribosomal RNA", at positions 332 to 800 of the family's 1533-position model. The record is from RNAcentral.